RNAcentral lists this ribosomal RNA (460 nucleotides) under uncultured bacterium. RNAcentral's name for it is "partial 16S ribosomal RNA". It matches the Rfam family "Bacterial small subunit ribosomal RNA", at positions 338 to 795 of the family's 1533-position model. The record is from RNAcentral.
CCUACGGGAGACAGCAGUGAGGAAUAUUGGUCAAUGGGCGCGAGCCUGAACCAGCCAAGUAGCGUGAAGGAUGACUGCCCUACGGGUUGUAAACUUCUUUUAUAAAGGAAUAAAGUGAGGCACGUGUGCCUUUUUGUAUGUACUUUAUGAAUAAGGAUCGGCUAGCUCCGUGCCAGCAGCUCCGGUAAGAUGGAGGAUACGAGCGUUAUGCGGAUUGAUUGGGUUUAAAGGGAGCGUAGAUGGGUUGUUAAGUCAGUUGUGAAAGUUUGCGGCUCAACCGUAAAAUUGCAAUUGAUACUGGCAGCCUUGAGUACAGUUGAGGUAGGCGGAAUUCGUGGUGUAGCGGUGAAAUGCUUAGAUAUCACGAAGAACUCCGAUUGCGAAGGCAGCUUACUAAACUGCCACUGACAUUGAUGCUCGAAAGUGUGGGUAUCAAACAGGAUUAGAUACCCGAGUAGUC